RNAcentral lists this ribosomal RNA (404 nucleotides) under uncultured prokaryote. Its description in RNAcentral is "bacterial SSU rRNA". It matches the Rfam family "Bacterial small subunit ribosomal RNA", at positions 355 to 776 of the family's 1533-position model. The record is from RNAcentral. RNAcentral also lists the same sequence under 1 other name.
UGGGGGAUAUUGCACAAUGGGGGAAACCCUGAUGCAGCAACGCCGCGUGAGCGAUGAAGGCCUUCGGGUUGUAAAGCUCUGUCUUCGCUGACGAUAAUGACGGUAAGCGAGGAGGAAGCCACGGCUAACUACGUGCCAGCAGCCGCGGUAAUACGUAGGUGGCGAGCGUUGUCCGGAAUUACUGGGCGUAAAGGGUGCGUAGGCGGGUUUUUAAGUCAGAUGUGAAACCCCCGGGCUUAACCUGGGGAUUGCAUUUGAAACUGGGGACCUAGAGUGCAGGAGAGGGAAGCGGAAUUCCUAGUGUAGCGGUGAAAUGCGUAGAUAUUAGGAAGAACACCAGUGGCGAAGGCGGCUUUCUGGACUGUAACUGACGCUGAGGCACGAAAGCGUGGGGAGCAAACAGG